GUAAAAGUCGUAACAAGGUUUCCGUAGGUGAACCUGCGGAAGGAUCAUUACCUAGAGUUUGUAGACUUCGGUCUGCUACCUCUUACCCAUGUCUUUUGAGUACCUUCGUUUCCUCGGCGGGUCCGCCCGCCGAUUGGACAACAUUCAAACCCUUUGCAGUUGCAAUCAGCGUCUGAAAAAACAUAAUAGUUACAACUUUCAACAACGGAUCUCUUGGUUCUGGCAUCGAUGAAGAACGCAGCGAAAUGCGAUAAGUAGUGUGAAUUGCAGAAUUCAGUGAAUCAUCGAAUCUUUGAACGCACAUUGCGCCCCUUGGUAUUCCAUGGGGCAUGCCUGUUCGAGCGUCAUUUGUACCUUCAAGCUCUGCUUGGUGUUGGGUGUUUGUCUCGCCUCUGCGUGUAGACUCGCCUCAAAACAAUUGGCAGCCGGCGUAUUGAUUUCGGAGCGCAGUACAUCUCGCGCUUUGCACUCAUAACGACGACGUCCAAAAGUACAUUUUUACACUCUUGACCUCGGAUCAGGUAGGGAUACCCGC
This 535-nucleotide ribosomal RNA is filed under the name uncultured fungus. RNAcentral describes it as "eukaryotic LSU rRNA". The stretch from base 194 to 347 matches the Rfam family "5.8S ribosomal RNA". The record is from RNAcentral. Lineage: Eukaryota; Fungi.